GGCGUGCCUAACACAUGCAAGUCGAACGAGAAAAUGUCCUUCGGGAUAUGAGUACAGUGGCGAACGGGUGAGUAACGCGUGGGUAACCUGCCCUUGGAAGGGGGAUAACACGAGGAAACUGGUGCUAAUACCGCAUAAGCCUGGGAGGAGAGAUUCUUUCAGGGAAAGUCCUUCGGGACGACCGAGGAGGGGCCCGCGUCCGAUUAGCUAGUUGGUGGAGUAAAGGUUCACCAAGGCGACAAUCGGUAGCCGGUCUGAGAGGACGGACGGUCACACUGGGACUGAGACACGGCCCAGACUCCUACGGGAGGCAGCAGUGGGGAAUUUUGCGCAAUGGGGGAAACCCUGACGCAGCAACGCCGCGUGAAGGAAGAAGGCUUUCGAGUUGUAAACUUCUGUUUCGGGGGACGAAGAAGUGACGGUACCCCGGCAGCAAGCCCCGGCUAACUCCGUGCCAGCAGCCGCGGUAAUACGGGGGGGGCAAGCGUUGUUCGGAAUUACUGGGCGUAAAGGGCGCGUAGGCGGUACGAGAAGUUUUGGGUGAAAGCCCCGGGCUCAACCCGGGAAGGUCCUGGAAAACCAUCGUACUGGAGUGCUGG
Molecule: ribosomal RNA, 599 nt
Filed under: uncultured bacterium
Lineage: Bacteria
Description: bacterial SSU rRNA
Rfam family: Bacterial small subunit ribosomal RNA
Source: RNAcentral